UCUCAUCAAGAGCAGCUGAGGGAUUGGCCCAAGGACGCUGCAGCAACCAUCCGUUUUGGACAAGGUGCUAAUUCCAUCAGCUUUUGCUGGCAGAUGAGG
This 99-nucleotide non-coding RNA is filed under the name uncultured Dialister sp. RNAcentral's name for it is "SAM riboswitch (S box leader)". It matches the Rfam family "SAM riboswitch aptamer (S box leader)". From Rfam's summary of the family: The SAM riboswitch is found upstream of a number of genes which code for proteins involved in methionine or cysteine biosynthesis in Gram-positive bacteria. The SAM riboswitch acts at the level of transcription termination control. Lineage: Bacteria; Bacillati; Bacillota; Negativicutes; Veillonellales; Veillonellaceae. The record is from RNAcentral.